Drosophila ananassae is the source of this 342-nucleotide long non-coding RNA. RefSeq lists it as uncharacterized. The transcript is spliced from 2 exons. NCBI's taxonomy places the organism in Eukaryota, Metazoa, Arthropoda, Insecta, Diptera, Drosophilidae. The record is from RefSeq and is a predicted model, not a curated record.
CUAAUCUUCCAUCUUCUAAUGACAUUUAUUAUUUUAGUGGUAGUUAAAUUUACCUAAAUAUCCAUAUCCAUAACUAACCUUCCUAUAAAAGCCAUGACACUCCACAAAGCUUAAAUUAGAAAAAUGUUAUUUUUUCAUUUACUAACUUUCUUUGUGAUAUUUGCUUCCGUUCGGACUAAUAAACCAGAUAUAAUCAUACCAGGGUUGAAUGAGGCUGAACAAAAGGAAUAUACAAAAUGCCUUAUAGGUGAGGAAAAAAAAAAUUCAGUCGCAUUAGGAGUGGGAUGCGGUAUACAAUGUUUUUUGCGAGUUACUGGAUCGAUUGGCAAAAAUAAAAUUAAC